AGCUAGAAGUACUACUUUUCUAGUUUAACCUGCCCAAUGUUUUGAUGGAUUAAUGGCCGCGGUACCCUGACCGUGCUAAGGUAGCGUAAUCAGUUGGCUUUUAAAUGGAGUCAGGAAUGAAUGGAAUAACCUGGUUUAGCUGUCUCCCUUCCAUUAGAUUGAAUUUACUUUCUAAGUGAAAAAGCUUAGGAUAGGAAAAGGGACGAGAAGACCCUUAGAAUUUUACUUAAAAGGUGUUAGGCAUUCAUUUUGUUGUUUUGUUGGGGUGACAUGGAAAUAUUUAAUAACUUUCCUAAUUAGACAAGACAAAUAUAAUAAGAAAGAGAAAAUUACCUGAGGGAUAACAGCAUUAUUCUAUAAAUGAGUUUGUGACCUCGAUGUUGGACUAGGAAGCUAGCAAAUUAGCCGUUUGUUGUGCUGGUUCUGUUCGAACUGGAAUUCCU
This 443-nucleotide ribosomal RNA is filed under the name Dermatobranchus sp. 12 MP-2010. RNAcentral's name for it is "partial 16S ribosomal RNA". It matches the Rfam family "Archaeal large subunit ribosomal RNA", at positions 1920 to 2665 of the family's 2987-position model. The record is from RNAcentral. Lineage: Eukaryota; Metazoa; Mollusca; Gastropoda; Nudibranchia; Arminidae. RNAcentral also lists the same sequence under 1 other name.